CGCAAUGGGCGAAAGCCUGACGGAGCAAUGCCGCGUGAAGGAUGAAGGCCUGUGGGUUGUAAACUUCUUUUUUCAGAGAAGAAAUUUUGACGGUAUUUGAGGAAUAAGCAUCGGCUAACUCUGUGCCAGCAGCCGCGGUAAGACAGAGGAUGCAAGCGUUAUCCGGAAUGAUUGGGCGUAAAGCGUCUGUAGGUGGCUUGACAAGUCUCCUGUCAAAGAUCAGGGCUUAACCCUGGGCCGGCAGGAGAAACUAUCAGGCUAGAGUUCGGUAGGGGCAGAGGGAAUUCCCGGUGGAGCGGUGAAAUGCGUAGAUAUCGGGAGGAACACCAACGGCGAAAGCACUUUGCUGGGCCGAUUUAUGAUGUAAUUCGGUACAACAU
Molecule: ribosomal RNA, 380 nt
Filed under: uncultured organism
Description: bacterial SSU rRNA
Rfam family: Bacterial small subunit ribosomal RNA
Source: RNAcentral